CUAUCCAAUUAUCUAGUACUGGUAGGCAGCAUUUUUCUGUCUCACAAAGCCCUCAUAUCUAGUUUUCCGCUGGCUGAGAAUGAUUAACAGUGCGCCAAUGAGUUCCCACCUGCCCCUGAGUCACAACAUUCGGAGCUUUAAACUGCAGACGCGACCAUACAGCUGCAACAAAGAGAGAAACUCGAGCAGAGGAUCUGACAUCUUUAUUUGUUUGGCUGUCCGGUCACCACCAUCUUGUGAGGAGAAAGUCUGUACAAGUCGAUUACCGAACUCUUCUCCCUUUGCAUCCAUUGACUGCAGCUUGUGCCGCAUUCGGUUGGCAGUCGCAAAACAAAAUUAUGGUAAAGUCUGUGGCUGCCAUUGAAAUUUCAUCAUCAAUGAAAUGUGUCUCUCAGUGUGAAAGAACUGAAUUUGCUUGAGGCCAUUUUUCACAAUAAGUUUGUCUAGCGGAGCCUGCUUUGUAUAAUUAUGUGAUUAGGAAAUCUAUCUUGUUCAGACAGUGCUUGACUGAAUUUCACAAGAACUGUUAUGAAUUACUAAUUGUUUUUUUUUUCAUCUGGUUCAAAAAGAGUUCUACAGACCUUUUGAAAUAAAAAACUAGAAUGUUACAGAAUGAAAAUUAUGACCGCAAGUUUCUUAAAAACCACUUGUCACUUCUGAAUGACCCUGUGCCUGUUUCUGCUCUUUUCACUGAAGCCAGCAUUACGCAGCAAACAUUUUAAACCCUGAACAAAUUUCCGAGCACGAGAUGUUGGCCUUGUCAGAGGAGCCUACACCAAAGCUCCCGAACAUUGUGUCCCUUUCCAGCUCAUCCCCUCCCAUCACGGGCCACUGACUGGCUGAGAUAUAUCUCCUCUGUCAGCGUAAAGUCUACAUGUCAUGCCAUUCUCCUUGCCUGUCUUUGGGAGGAUGGCCCGUUCCUUCUACGGGAGUCUGUGACCGAGCUCUGCCCUGGACCCAGGCUGUGCAUGUUUACACGAAUUGGUGGCGCUGACACCAUUGUGAGGGCAAUUUGCUUCCGGGCAGAAUCUCAUUUG
Alosa sapidissima (American shad) is the source of this 1037-nucleotide long non-coding RNA. RefSeq lists it as uncharacterized. The record is from RefSeq and is a predicted model, not a curated record. Lineage: Eukaryota; Metazoa; Chordata; Actinopteri; Clupeiformes; Clupeidae. The transcript has 3 exons.